RNAcentral lists this non-coding RNA (21 nucleotides) under Xenopus tropicalis (tropical clawed frog). RNAcentral also lists the same sequence under 1 other name. Lineage: Eukaryota; Metazoa; Chordata; Amphibia; Anura; Pipidae. The record is from RNAcentral.
GCUCUGACAGUGUUGCACUAC